This is a long non-coding RNA of Zonotrichia albicollis (white-throated sparrow), 1343 nucleotides long. RefSeq lists it as uncharacterized. The record is from RefSeq and is a predicted model, not a curated record. Lineage: Eukaryota; Metazoa; Chordata; Aves; Passeriformes; Passerellidae.
GACCGGGCCAGGGCCGGCGGGGAGGGGGUUGAAGUUGGCGUGCGGAAGUGGGUAAACCUCAGGAACCGAUGGCAACACCUGUUUGUUGCCGUGUUUUACAUUGAUUAUCGCAGCGAUGUGUCCGCUGGUGUCAUGGACGGAGGCCUGGAGAAGAGCGCCGAGCCGCCAGCUGGGCUGAGCUCUGCCAAACCUGGAUCGCCUUAGCGAGAGGAAGGGAGUCCCUCGGCCAAAAACUGGAUCGCCUUAGCAAGAGGAAGAGAGUCUCGGCUCUCCAGAGGAGCGAGAUUUAGGGCGUCUGGCAGCCCUCCCGACGGUCACCGUGAGGUCACUGCAGCCAUACGGCUGGCCCAAACACAGCUGAAAUUAGUGCUUUGAUUUAUUCACCACUUGACGCCUUCAGCCACACUUCCAGUUUGCUCACUGUGCUAAAUUCACUGAGGGUGGAGUGUUUUGUUGUUUUUUUUUUACAGCCGAGAGUGCUUUUGCCUGUUGCCUGUAGAGAAAGGACCCAGGCGUUUACAGUUAUGACUGCUGAGAACUGCAAACACAGCUCCGAUCAUCAUCUUGUGUUUUACAUGUAGUCAGACUGUGUUGUGACAAGGAGAAGACUGUGUGAUACUUGCAUACGCCUACUUGAACAGAUGCAAAUGCAGAUCUUGCCUUGGUCUUCUCAGAGUACCCAGGAGAAUCCUGUUAGCUCCAGUAAUAUUGACCGACCCUAUCACUUGGAAUAAUGACAUAAAAUGAGCAGGAGGGAAGCAAAUUGAAUACUAACAGUAGCAAUUUGUAUCCUAACUGUGUGCAUGGACAUAGACCUGAAUUCUUCAGUGCAAGGUGCCAUCCAGACACCACACAGAGGGUAUACGUGGUUCUAAAAAGAAAAAUUGGGAAAUAGCCUUAAUGGUGAAGCAAUAUCAGAAAAUAUGCCUAAUGAUCAUGAGCUAACUGAUUAAAUAUAAUUAAUCUAGUGAUAUUUCAAUAUUAACAGCAGCAUGCUGCUCUUCACACAGGAUGUCCCAGACUUUUUGUUUCCAGCAGGCUCUCAGGCUGCCAUAUCCAAGGACUCAGAGAGGAAGGUGUCUGGAUGUCCUGAAGAAUUCUGAAUUCAGGAGUGCAGUUUAACUUGUUUUCCAAUCCUCCUUAAGUUUUCCCUGUACCAUUUGAGUCACAGUAUUAACAUUUCACGUCCCUUUUUCUUUUGGAACACAGUUUUGAAAUGCCUUCUUGUCCAUCCUGCUGCUUGUUAAUCUUUCUCAUAUAAAUUUUAAAGAAAAAAAAUUACAGGACAGACCAAUGUUUUCAUCUGUUUGCCAGAUCAGGGAGACCAAAACAUUCCAGAACUG